CGAUGAAAAGCUUGCUUUUCAAAGUUAGUGGCGGACGGGUGAGUAACGCGCGGGUAACCUGCCUCAUACAGGGGAAUAGCAGCUGGAAACGGCUGAUAAAACCGCAUAAGCGCACAGUGCCGCAUGGCACAGUGUGAAAAACUCCGGUGGUAUGAGAUGGACCCGCGUCUGAUUAGCUAGUUGGCGGGGUAACGGCCCACCAAGGCGACGAUCAGUAGCCGGCCUGAGAGGGUGAUCGGCCACAUUGGGACUGAGACACGGCCCAAACUCCUACGGGAGGCAGCAGUGGGGAAUAUUGCACAAUGGGGGAAACCCUGAUGCAGCGACGCCGCGUGAAGGAAGAAGUAUCUCGGUAUGUAAACUUCUAUCAGCAGGGAAGAUAAUGACGGUACCUGACUAAGAAGCCCCGGCUAACUACGUGCCAGCAGCCGCGGUAAUACGUAGGGGGCAAGCGUUAUCCGGAUUUACUGGGUGUAAAGGGAGCGUAGGCGGCGGAGCAAGUCAGAAGUGAAAGCCCGGGGCUCAACCCCGGGACGGCUUUUGAAACUGCCCUGCUUGAUUUCAGGAGAGGUAAGCGGAAUUCCUAGUGUAGCGGUGAAAUGCGUAGAUAUUAGGAGGAACACCAGUGGCGAAGGCGGCUUACUGGACUGACAAUGACGCUGA
RNAcentral lists this ribosomal RNA (663 nucleotides) under uncultured Lachnospiraceae bacterium. RNAcentral describes it as "bacterial SSU rRNA". It matches the Rfam family "Bacterial small subunit ribosomal RNA", at positions 69 to 749 of the family's 1533-position model. Lineage: Bacteria; Bacillati; Bacillota; Clostridia; Lachnospirales; Lachnospiraceae. The record is from RNAcentral.